UACAGAGGGUGCGAGCGUUAAUCGGAAUUACUGGGCGUAAAGCGUGCGUAGACGGUUAUUUAAGUCGGAUGUGAAAGCCCCGGGCUCAACCUGGGAAUUGCAUUCGAGACUGAAUAGCUAGGGUACGGUAGAGGGAAGCGGAGUUUCCGGUGUAGCGGUGAAAUGCGUAGAUAUCGGAAGGAACAUCAGUGGCGAAAGCGGCUUCCUGGACCAGUACCGACGUUCAGGCACGAAAGCGUGGGGAGCAAACAGG
Molecule: ribosomal RNA, 253 nt
Filed under: uncultured bacterium
Lineage: Bacteria
Description: partial 16S ribosomal RNA
Rfam family: Bacterial small subunit ribosomal RNA
Source: RNAcentral